GGGAAUGUGGCUCAGUGGUAGAGUGCUUGCCUAACAUAUAUGAAGCCCUAGGUUCGAUUCCUCAGUACCA
Molecule: transfer RNA, 70 nt
Filed under: Dipodomys ordii (Ord's kangaroo rat)
Lineage: Eukaryota; Metazoa; Chordata; Mammalia; Rodentia; Heteromyidae
Rfam family: tRNA
About the family: Transfer RNA (tRNA) molecules are approximately 80 nucleotides in length. Their secondary structure includes four short double-helical elements and three loops (D, anti-codon, and T loops).
Source: Rfam by way of RNAcentral